UGCCUGCCUGCCUGCCUGCCUGCCUGCCUGCCACCAAGUGCCUGGGAUUCUCGUUUGCCACACCAAGCCGCCAAUAGCUGGAUCUUUGUUCAGCCACGCACUCUUCGACCCCAUCAAUCAGCUCCCGACUACUCUCCCCCACUAAACCCUCAGUGUUAUCAGUAAAAUCUUUGUGAGUUUCAACCUA
Micropterus salmoides (largemouth bass) is the source of this 187-nucleotide long non-coding RNA. RefSeq lists it as uncharacterized. NCBI's taxonomy places the organism in Eukaryota, Metazoa, Chordata, Actinopteri, Centrarchiformes, Centrarchidae. The transcript is spliced from 2 exons. The record is from RefSeq and is a predicted model, not a curated record.